UUUUUCUCUCACCUACACUAUUUUAGCCACCUGAGCUAGUCUAGGUGGCUAAAUCAAUUAUUAUUUUCCAAGUAACAGAGCGGGUAUCUGUUACAUGCCCUCAAACUAACAAUCUUUUAUGUUAUUUUGAAUCCAUUAACCAAUUUUAUUUUAUUUUAUCAAUGCCGGUAGAAGAAUGGAUAAUUCAGUGCUUGUUCGAAUUGUAGCUCAUUUUGUAUUGUAUAGUUUUUUGGCAUAGCUUUUGUGAUGCUUCAUGACUAUGUGUGCUGAAAUGAUGUUAUUAUAAUGAGCUUUUUACUAUUUGAGUUCUUCCUAUACGAUGGUUCCAGCCUCUUUGUAUAUUGGGUUUAGUGCUUCAAUAAUAUGGGUUGUUGGACAGGUGUAACAUGUCAAGGUUGUAAAUUCCUUAUUCUUCAUGGAGUUACAUUUGCUUUUGUUGAUCUUUAUUUCACCUUUGAGGGGACAUAUCUCUCUUCCACUGCCUGCGAUCAUGCCAGGCAUUGGAAUUUGCAUGAACCAGCAGUGAUCAGUGGCUUCGUUGGGGUAUUUUGGGCAAUGCAUGCACUACACCAGGCUAUGAUCCUACUUUAGCUGAAUAAAUUUGUUAUUUUUUCCCUAGUAAAAACAAAUAAAGAAGCAACUCCUCUUGUAGACAAGUCUUAAUGUAUAAAACAUUGUUUUGCAGUUCGUCGGCAAUCUCCUCACAUUUGCUCUUCUGAAAAAUGGACAAGCUUGUCAUUUCUUGGGCUGGUCUUUACUUAUUGGCACAACUCUCCCAAAUAUCCUUUUGUCUCUAUUCUCUUAUGGGUUCAUAAUUGUUGCCUCGUGUCCUUAUUGCAUAACCCUCGGUCCAAAUUUUUUUUUUCCCACAUCAAAGUGAUAAUGGUAGGCAUACACUUACCUACUUUUGAGAUUGAUUUUGAUUUAACAAAAAAGAUUAAGGAAUACAGUGCUAUGAUCGUUCAGGUUUAUGGUGUUGAUAUACUUGUGUAAAGAUUGCUGUAUAUUUCUGCUAUCUUGUUCAUUUGAAAUCUUACAUAUUUCAUUUAUGCUCCUUGAAAAUAUGUAAUGUGUACACUAUGUAAAAGAUUUAAAGAAUAUGUAAAUGUAAGCUGGGUUUUCCCUUCUACCCUCAAGCAAUAAACACUCGCUUCUAGUACAAACACAACUGAGCAUUAAGUAAUUCAUAAAACUUACUGAAUUCGUUUCCUAUCACUGCAGGAUGGAAGCACCAGCAACACAAAUUCAUUGUUCCCUGUAUUUCAUUGUAUGAUAAUCUUAGGUAUUAUACUAAUGUGCUUCUUGAGUAUAAGGAGUGGCAAUAGUAUGAAAGAUGAUGAACCAUCAGAUGCUGGUGUUAGCGUUCAUUCAUCCAUAAAGUCUCUAUUCAGAUCACUUGCCAGUGCAUUGUCUGAUGUAAGGAUGUUGUUGGUCGUGCCCUUAAUUGCUUACUCAGGACUACAACAAGCGUUUGUGUGGGCUGAAUUUACCAAGUAUGCUGUAAUCCCAGCACUUGGUGUUUCUGGCGUGGGUAUUGCAAUGGCUGUAUAUGGGGCACUUGAUGGAAUAGUAAGUAUGAAAAUGUAAUAAUUUGAUGGUUUCUCCGUAGAGGCAACCUGAAGCUAAUUAAUUGGCAUGGCUAGUGGAGAACUCAAUACUCUAUACCUACUUUUUUUGGCUGCCUUGUUGGGGACGGUGAUGGAGUUUUAAACACACAAUUAAGUGCCUUGCUAGGAAUGCUUUUCAAGCAUGACUCGGAAGGAGCAUUUGCACAGUUAAAGAUAUGGCAAAGCGCUUCAGCCUUCAAUUGCUAUGGUGUUCUUUCUGAGCUUACACCUCUCUUUGCAGGCAAUGCUUCUAACUAUGCUUGCUUCAUUGAGCUUAUCGUUUGGCAGCUUUCUGUUCCUAGCUCUCAAGGUGGCCUAGGAAUCAUUUUCCUCCACUGGUAAAUGGAUUUCUGCUUUGUUUGUUUUAAUAGAAAAUGUGAGAGGAAAGAAAGUAUGAGGGAAAAAACUGGAAAGAAAGCAAAUUUUCCUCUGGAUAAGGAAAGAAAAAUGAGAGGAAGGAAAAGUAGGUAAAAAAAUAGAAGGUGGGACUUUAUAUUUUCUUCCCAAGUUUUCUCUCCAUAUGGAAAGAUUUUGGGAAGAAAUUUAUUAUUUCUUGUGUGACCUCUUUUCUA
Prosopis cineraria is the source of this 2179-nucleotide RNA transcript. It is a transcript of the gene named UNC93-like protein 3, with no coding region annotated. NCBI's taxonomy places the organism in Eukaryota, Viridiplantae, Streptophyta, Magnoliopsida, Fabales, Fabaceae. The record is from RefSeq and is a predicted model, not a curated record. The transcript is spliced from 4 exons.